Long non-coding RNA from Daphnia pulicaria, 1494 nucleotides. RefSeq lists it as uncharacterized. Lineage: Eukaryota; Metazoa; Arthropoda; Branchiopoda; Diplostraca; Daphniidae. The record is from RefSeq and is a predicted model, not a curated record. The transcript has 3 exons.
AAAUGAUAUCCCCUGUAAGCUAAAAAUAGCAAAAUGCUCACAUAAAAGACUCGCUACCGCAAUUCUGGGCGCUUUGCCUUUGGAAAAUGACCCUGUCUGUUGAUGUCGCAGUUGUCGUCCCAGCAAUGCAGCUCGCUUCAAAAUGUCCAGCUACGCGCUAUAAAUGUGGUUACCUCAACACGAUCGAAAAUAGUACAAGAGCCAGUAUUUCAUCCGGAAUUAUUAACCACUUUGUCACCCUUUUCUACGUUUUCAUUUCUUCUCCCAGCAACAAGUUUCUCAUUGAUUGCCUAAACAACGGCGUAUUCCGGGGCUAUUGCAACAUGUCUCCAACUUUCUGCCUUAACUUUGGAAAAUUAUCAGAACCCCUAUUUUUGUUCUUUCUCUUUAUUAGGAAACCCAGGUAAAAUGUUGUGUCUAUCAACUAAAAACCUGACGAGGUUGCUCGUGGUCUUUGUUGAGCUGUUAUUUCACAACGACAAAUUAAUCUGAUAUAUCAAGACUAAUGGCUAAGUUUAAGUCGCAGCACAUCAGCGUUAAUUGAGCAAUGUUGAAAUAUUGCAUUUAAGUAUAGACAAAUAAGACUAACAUUUCAUAACACAUAAAGAAACUAGGAGAACAACUUGUUCCUUACUCUCCAUCAUUUUCUUUUUGUAUUUCAAACUACCCGUCGAUUUAAGCCAAUUGACCUGUUUUAAAUUUUUAAUUGUCAUCUAUGUUCUCACCUCCUGGACGUCUCCCAACUUUGCCAUCAUGGCGAAAUCUCUUUAGGCACUAUAAAAGGAUGGUUACUUCUUACUUGAUUUUGAAUUCGUAUUGCAGAGCCGGAAACCUGAGAAUUAAAAAAAUUAAUUCAAAGAUCAAGUCUCUGCCAUCUAUUUUGCUGAUUGUCGUGCUCAUGCUGGCGACCGUGUCUGCUCGUGUGUGGUUUUACACCGAAGGUAACCAAGUUCGCUGGUCGAACAAUUGUAAUUUCAAUGGCUACGACUUCCGGCGAGUUUUUGUACCAAACGACCAAUGUGGAAGGGCGUGUCUCAACAACUGGGCCUGCACUCACUUCACUAACACUCGUACUACCUGUUUUCUAAAGAGGAAUACGAACGGGUGGACUGAACAAUUUUCCCGUAACACAGACUGCGGAUUCAUCCCUGGCCGCAGCAACCAAAGCAUUGAUCCUCGACACAAUACUGCUGCAAAUUAAGGGUUUAUUAACAAUUAGCGCUCUCACUUUGUUGUAUGGGAAGAUGAAAGUGCACUACACACUGUUUUUUAUAGAAGAUUUUUAAGUUGUUUAAUACCAUGUAGUCUUUAGUUCUUUAUGUUUACUUACGAGAUUUAUAAAAUUUAUGGGGUGAAAAUGUGAAAUGAAAUUUUUUUCUCUUUUCUUUACUGACAACGCUGUAUUUUCUUUGUUGUUUUAUUCAAUGUUACGCGUGAAUUUUAAUUCCUUCCUUCAUUUUGGACUUACAUUCACUAAUAAAUCUACAAACGCAA